RNAcentral lists this unclassified non-coding RNA (330 nucleotides) under soil metagenome. RNAcentral describes it as "partial contains 5.8S ribosomal RNA, internal transcribed spacer 2, and large subunit ribosomal RNA". The stretch from base 4 to 119 matches the Rfam family "5.8S ribosomal RNA", at positions 39 to 154 of the family's 154-position model. The record is from RNAcentral.
GAUAAGAACGUAGCAAAAUGCGAUAAGUAAUGUGAAUUGCAGAAUUCAGUGAAUCAUCGAAUCUUUGAACGCACAUUGCGCCCGCCAGUAUUCUGGCGGGCAUGCCUGUUCGAGCGUCAUUUCAACCCUCAAGCACAGCUUGGUGUUGGGACUCGCGUUAAUUCGCGUUCCCCAAAUUGAUUGGCGGUCACGUCGAGCUUCCAUAGCGUAGUAGUAAAACCCUCGUUACUGGUAAUCGUCGCGGCCACGCCGUUAAACCCCAACUUCUGAAUGUUGACCUCGGAUCAGGUAGGAAUACCCGCUGAACUUAAGCAUAUCAAAAGCGGAGGA